GCCUAAGUUUUUUGUUGCGGGCCCUUUACGGGCUAUAGGGAAAGCGGUGCAAAUCCGCUGCGGACCCGCCACUGUAAGUGGGAACGAAAGCCGCACACGCCACUGUUUCAAAGGGAAUGGGAAGGCGCGGCCGGUAGAUUGAUCCACGAGCCAGGAUACCUGCCGCAACAAAACCGUGUUA
RNAcentral lists this non-coding RNA (181 nucleotides) under Desulfatibacillum alkenivorans. The record is from RNAcentral. RNAcentral also lists the same sequence under 1 other name. Lineage: Bacteria; Pseudomonadati; Thermodesulfobacteriota; Desulfobacteria; Desulfobacterales; Desulfatibacillaceae.